Non-coding RNA from Oncorhynchus mykiss (rainbow trout), 3780 nucleotides. Lineage: Eukaryota; Metazoa; Chordata; Actinopteri; Salmoniformes; Salmonidae. The record is from RefSeq and is a predicted model, not a curated record.
GAUGGUUCUAUACUGGUGUUGGAGACAGGGUGCAGUGUUUCAGGUGGGUGAUGGUUCUAUACUGGUGUUGGAGACAGGGUGCAGUGUUUCAGGUAGGUGAUGGUUCUAUACUGGUGUUGGUUCUAUACUGGUGUUGGAGACAGGGUGCAGUGUUUCAGGUAGGUGAUGGUUCUAUACUGGUGUUGGUUCUAUACUGGUGUUGGAGACAGGGUGCAGUGUUUCAGGUAGGUGAUGGUUCUAUACUGGUGUUGGUUCUAUACUGGUGUUGGAGACAGGGUGCAGUGUUUCAGGUGGGUGAUGGUUCUAUACUGGUGUUGGAGACAGGGUGCAGUGUUUCAGGUGGGUGAUGGUUCUAUACUGGUGUUGGAGACAGGGUGCAGUGUUUCAGGUGGGUGAUGGUUCUAUACUGGUGUUGGAGACCGGGUGCAGUGUUUCAGGUGGGUGAUGGUUCUAUACUGGUGUUGGAGACAGGGUGCAGUGUUUCAGGUGGGUGAUGGUUCUAUACUGGUGUUGGAGACAGGGUGCAGUGUUUCAGGUGGGUGAUGGUUCUAUACUGGUGUUGGAGACAGGGUGCAGUGUUUCAGGUGGGUGAUGGUUCUAUACUGGUGUUGGAGACAGGGUGCAGUGUUUCAGGUGGGUGAUGGUUCUAUACUGGUGUUGGAGACAGGGUGCAGUGUUUCAGGUGGGUGACGGUUCUAUACUGGUGUUGGAGACAGGGUGCAGUGUUUCAGGUGGGUGAUGGUUCUAUACUGGUGUUGGUUCUAUACUGGUGUUGGAGACAGGGUGCAGUGUUUCAGGUAGGUGAUGGUUCUAUACUGGCGUUGGUUCUAUACUGGUGUUGGAGACAGGGUGCAGUGUUUCAGGUGGGUGAUGGUUCUAUACUGGUGUUGGAGACAGGGUGCAGUGUUUCAGGUGGGUGUUGGUUCUAUACUGGUGUUGGAGACAGGGUGCAGUGUUUCAGGUGGGUGAUGGUUCUAUACUGGUGUUGGAGACAGGGUGCAGUGUUUCAGGUGGGUGAUGGUUCUAUACUGGUGUUGGAGACAGGGUGCAGUGUUUCAGGUGGGUGAUGGUUCUAUACUGGUGUUGGAGACCGGGUGCAGUGUUUCAGGUGGGUGACGGUUCUAUACUGGUGUUGGUUCUAUACUGGUGUUGGAGACCGGGUGCAGUGUUUCAGGUAGGUGACGGUUCUAUACUGGUGUUGGAGACAGGGUGCAGUGUUUCAGGUGGGUGAUGGUUCUAUACUGGUGUUGGUUCUAUACUGGUGUUGGAGACAGGGUGCAGUGUUUCAGGUGGGUGACGGUUCUAUACUGGUGUUGGUUCUAUACUGGUGUUGGAGACAGGGUGCAGUGUUUCAGGUGGGUGACGGUUCUAUACUGGUGUUGGUUCUAUACUGGUGUUGGAGACAGGGUGCAGUGUUUCAGGUAGGUGAUGGUUCUAUACUGGUGUUGGUUCUAUACUGGUGUUGGUUCUAUACUGGUGUUGGAGACAGGGUGCAGUGUUUCAGGUGGGUGAUGGUUCUAUACUGGUGUUGGAGACAGGGUGCAGUGUUUCAGGUGGGUGAUGGUUCUAUACUGGUGUUGGAGACAGGGUGCAGUGUUUCAGGUGGGUGUUGGUUCUAUACUGGUGUUGGUUCUAUACUGGUGUUGGAGACAGGGUGCAGUGUUUCAGGUGGGUGAUGGUUCUAUACUGGUGUUGGAGACAAGUUGCAGUGUUUCACAUCAAAUUGUAUUUGUCACAUGCACUGAAUACAACAGGUGUAGACCUCACAGUGAAACGCUUACUUACAAGACCUUAACCAACAAUGUAGUUUUAAGAACAAUUUAAACAAAUGGAAAAUUACAUGUUUUUUUUUUAUUAAAAGGUAGGUUCUAUACUGGUGUUGAAAUAGGUUCAAUUAAGAAAAACUUAGCUAGCUUAGAUAAUUAGCUGGCAUUGAUUUGAUUUUGCAGAGACAUGUUUUUUUGGAGCGUCUGAUGACAUAAUGCUAAUAUUGUGAUGAACAUUUCUCUGGUCCCUACUGUUGCAGUCAUGACGCAAGUGGCGCUAUGCUGUCAAAUCCUCCCACGUACUUCAACCAGCUGUUUUUAGCAACUGGUAGUUUUUAAUUUGGUUGGCAUAUUGGCAGGUUUGCUAGCAUCUAACUACACUGAAUGCUGUUGAAACGCUGAAAGCUGAACGAGAGACCUCGGUUUAUUGUUUCAUAAAGCUGACAGUGUUUUUAUAUACUUUUUUGUUGGAUCCUGCGGCUCUGUUGGGCUUAGUUGCUGUGAGCGCUGCUGUCUGUCCCGGGAUCCUUCAGCUCUGUUGUGCUUAGUUGCUGUGAGCGCUGCUGUCUCUCCUGGGAUCCUUCAGCUCUGUUGUGCUUAGUUGCUGUGAGCGCUGCUGUCUGUCCCAGGAUCAUGUAGCUCUGUUGGGCUUAGUUGCUGUGAGCGCUGCUGUCUGUCCUGGGAUCCUGCCAGAUUCUGCACAUGGAAGCCCAGCUAGCCUAUUUGGCUCGGCGGUCUCAAAUGCAGGUCGCUAUCGAACGUUUCCAGCACUGCAGGAGCUGUUUGCUUUGUUCCAGGACAAGGUGGACCGCGCUGACUUUCAAUGUAGCAACUGCUUGCUUGCGAAGGACUAUAGGGUGGUGAAGUGGCUACUCUUAGCAAGCAUGUAGCAAACCUACACUAGCUACUGGGGAGUCCACGCCCGCCUACUUUUUCUUCCACCCCAGUAGCCGGAUUCCACUCUGGUCUGGAAGUGUCGCCAGCGUGUCGGCUCUCCACAGCUGACUGGCCGGUGCUGAGCAGGGUUCCAUCCCCGACGGGUUCUUCCCCUUCCCUGGAGAACGGCGCUGUCCUCGACCCAACCAACCAGCCAUGGAGAUGCGUCACUCGCAGUGGAAGUCGAAGAAAGUGUCCUCUGGCAACAGGGGUGUGCUUGGAGAUGUUGAGCCCGGACCUGACACAGACCAUAAACGGCUUUGCCGCCCUGGGGGCUUCCCAUUCAAGAUCUGAUCCGGAGGUACCUGCGUCUUCAUCUUCGUCCUCUGUUCUGUCCCUCUCCGGUGGCUUCUACCUCGGGUUCAGAUUCUCGGAGCUCCCACCCUCAUCAGACCGUGAGGUUGCCUGAGAGACCUGUCGAUUCAACAUCACCAGCUGUCAUCAUAGGCAGCUCUAUGGUGAACAACAUCUCGGUCUCCAAAGCAAAAACCCUGUUACCCAUGAGCACGAAUACAGGACAUAACAAGGCUGCUUCUGACUGUUCUACCCAGGAGCACGAGUACAGGACAUAACGAGGCUGCUUCAGACUGUUCUACACAGGAGCACGAGUACAGGACAUAACAAGGCUGCUUCUGACUGUUCUACCACAGAUGCCGGAAGCUGACACUGUCGUAGUCCGUGUGGGGUCAAACAACAUCAGGAGGGCUAGCUCGGAACAUCUGGAAAAUUGAUUUUAAGGAACUGAUUUUAGCAUUAAAAUACUCCAAACAAUGGCCAGUCAUUUCAGGUCCAGUACCGUCGCCGUUCAGGUGUGAACAUUUCAGCAGGCUACUGGCAUUACACAUCUGGCUAAAAGACAGUAGCUCUGCUGGAGUCACUUUUAUUGAUAACUUUGACACCUUCUGGAAACAGAAGAUACUCUACAGGAAUGACGGAGUCCACCCAAAUCAUCUUGGCUCCUGGCCUCUGUCCACGCAUUUUAAGGCUGCGUUGAAAAAUCUAAUGUUAUUAGUCACAUGCGCUGAAUACAAAUCAAAUCAAAUUUAUUUGUCACAUACACAUGGUUAGCAGAUGUUAA